GGAAGAUAGAAAUAAGUGUGGUAUUAAACCACUAAAAUCAUCUCAGGAACUGCAAAGAGUUGCUUGAAAUGGAAUACUGAGUUUAUCUCCAUACAUAACACAUAAUUUUGUAGGUUGCUGGGCCAAUUGUCUUCCGAGUUGAUUCAAGAUUUUCGCUUGAUUCUGCAUCAGGUCAACUAGGGCCACAUGCAGAGGAUCUCAUUUACACUUUUGAGUUACUCGCUGAGACUCCUACGCUCUGGCAAGGUUGUUUCUUGGUAUUCUCAUAGGCAUUUAUGUCUGAGAA
This 286-nucleotide unclassified non-coding RNA is filed under the name Hevea brasiliensis (rubber tree). The record is from RNAcentral. Lineage: Eukaryota; Viridiplantae; Streptophyta; Magnoliopsida; Malpighiales; Euphorbiaceae.